This 402-nucleotide ribosomal RNA is filed under the name uncultured bacterium. Its description in RNAcentral is "partial 16S ribosomal RNA". It matches the Rfam family "Bacterial small subunit ribosomal RNA", at positions 28 to 526 of the family's 1533-position model. The record is from RNAcentral.
GACGAACGCUGGCGGCGUGCCUAAUACAUGCAAGUCGAGCGAGGGGGGACGGGUGAGUAACACGUGGGUAACCUCCCAUCAGAGGGGAUAACACAGGGAAACAGGUGCUAAACCGAUACUGAUGGAUGGGCCCGCGGUGCAUUAGCUAGUUGGUGAGGUAACGGCUCACCAAGGCCACGAUGCAUAGCCGCUCUGAGAGAGUGAGCAGCCAAACUGGGACUGCGACACGGCCCAGACUCCUACGGGAGGCAGCAGUAGGGAUUCUUCGGCAAUGGACGAAAGUCUGCCCGAGCUACGCCGCUGGAGUGAAGAAGGUUUUCGGAUCGUAAAACUCUGUUGUUAGAGAAGCGGUAUCUAACCAGAAAGACACGGCUAACUACGUGCCAGCAGCCGCGGUAAUUC